UGGUAUUUGGAUGGGGCAAUUCGAUCUCAACACCCGAGAAGGGAUGUAGCAGACUUGUUUCACUCUCAUCUUUCCCGGUUGUGAUUAGCCAUCCCAUAGACUCUAGACAUCGUUUUCCUAUGGCUUUCGGAAUCCUCUUGUUUAAAAUCAUGCCAUUGUAGAGGCUGAAGAAUUUUCUACAGGAAUUGUCUUUAUCCUCUGCUAACAUCAACCACGGAAUUCUAGGCAGGUCACUGUUGAAAUUGUCCUUGGUGGCAGCACAUCGCCAAGAUUUGCAGACGGCCGCAAAAUUAAGGUAGUCCUCGAUCAAAUUUAUACGCUUAACUAUUAGAACCAGCAGAUCAUAUUGAAGCUCAGACCAAUUCGACAUCCUUGUGCUUAAUAUCGGGAAUCCUCCAAAGUUUUUCUGUUUUGGUUGAAAAAUCCACAAACCCUAUAUAUAAUUGAGAGAGAUAUCCCUAUUAUGGUUGGAUUCUGAGGACAGAAACCCACUUCAAAGAGUAACAGGAAUCUAGCCUGAAACUUUCCCAAAGUAAUUAUCGGAUUAUAUUUAUUCUGCGUUCUACUUUUUUAUUAUAUUUGUCCUUACCAUUCAAUUUUAAGUUCAUAUUUACCCAUUGAAUUGUUAAAUUCCACAUCACCACUUUUGUUACACUAAGGGCUCCUACAUGAAUAUAAUCAUCUCUUAAUUUUAAUUAUUAUACUUCACCCGGUGAACUCGAUUUUGUCUCUUGAAUCUUUUCUUCUUCGUUGCAGGAAGCAACCUUCCUCUCCCCGAGGAUCUCUUCCUUAAGCAAAUCCAAUGUAGAUCAAACUACAAAAUUCAUUUUUUUUAUUUGCACCUUUAUCAAACAAAGAUUACUCUUUACACUCCUAAAAUACUCAAGUUAAAGCAGAUAACAAGAUCCAAAAAUAUGCAUUUUGGUUAUGAAAUUAUACAAAUUCAAGCAAGAAGAGUGAAUUCAACUCAUUUGAUGCUUGUUUAGACGGAAAUGUUGUUCUAACGAAGUUUGGUAUCUUCUUCGAAUUGAAAAAAUUAUUUUUAACUUGGAUUUCACCAUAGUUGUAAGAGGAGUGUUAUAUUGUGAGCUGAGUCCCAAUUUUAUAACCACUUUACAUGGAAAUUGAUUAGAAAAAGCAUAUAGUGAUUCGAAUUUGUACACAAACAACAAUACUCUCAUUUAAAAACAUGAUGAAACUGGCAAUCUCACUCUUCAUCCACAAAAUCUUCUACUGAGCUUCCAUAGAUUACGUAUUCUUAUCAUAUAAUUUUUGAUUUCUUUCAACAAAAUCCACAAUCCCAUCCCCAAUUAUUUUUUUUUUAAAAUGUCAGCCCCUUUUUCAAAAGUUCUCUUAUUGAAAAACUUGGUUCUGAAAUUAAAGGUAUCGAUAAAGUUUAUUACUCAAAACAUGACUUUUAAGAGGAAGAUAAAAUUCAUAGACACCAUAGAUGAAUGAUACCAUUUGUUCUAAGAAAAUCAAUCUAAAAAGAAGUUGUAUUUGAUAUUUGAGAUUGCAAGGAAUGCUGAAAAGCCAAAUAACAACAAUAAGUCUUAUGUGAGCCAGUUUCUCAACAUCAGCUUCAAGCAUCAUACAUAAAUUAGGAUAGACGGUAGAGCAUGAGCAUCAGAUGACUUGUUCUCUCUUUAUUUCCCUCUUUUCUGCUAACCAAUUUCAGUUCCGAACUUAUAAUAAAUCUAAACAUAUAUAACUUACGGUGCUCAACAAGAGAAAAGGGUUUUGCAUAAAAAUAAAUUAUGAAACAUUCUCCAAAUACAAAUAUAUAAUAUAAAAUAAAAAAGGAAGCAAUACGGAUCAAUACAGGGUUGGAGUGACCCAAAUUGGUGGACAAACACGACUGAGAGAAACACCGUUGUAGUGAGGCUCGAAGCUGCCAUUUGCUAUGUUAUAAACACCCAUAUCCCUGCCACCCCCUUCUUCAUAGAAGAGGUAUGAUUCCACAAAAUCAUCAGUAUAAUAAAUAUGAUUGGGCUUGACUCCUGGAAAUUGAGAAGCUUGUACUGAGAUAGAUGCAUUAGCACCCAAAAAAAGAGCUCUGUCCCCUACUUGCUUGGUUUCCCUCAAUUCCCCAGCGGCUAAAUCGACCUCAAAAACUCCAAAAUUUGUUGUCCCAUAAGUUUCUGUACCAUCAUUGGGAUAUAUUGGUGUUAAUGAAAUCCUCCUGCUGCUAUCUUCUCUGAUGGGCGGCCUACUUUUUACACCGUAUCGCACAACUACAAAUAAUGAUCCAAUUGAUUCUAGGAUAUAGAACUCGUCUCCCAUGUGAUGGGGUGGUAAGAUGGCUACUAUUUGAGUGUGAAUAGGACUAGAACCAGUAACAUCAUAGACUAACACACGGCCAUUCCAAUCAACUGCAUAAAAAUUUUCAGUAUAAUAGACCAGAUCACGAUGCAUAUGUUUAUAGGGAGAGUUUAUGUUGUCAAUCCUUGUCCAUCUCAAAUCUCCUGGCCUCCAAAAACUGAAGAAUUUCCUAUUUCCGUCAAUCACAGCGAGAAUGUAGCUCGAUGUAUGAGAAGGACUAGCCGAUAAAACUGCCUUGUGAAAAAAAGUCCAUGGAUAGCCUACCUCAUGGUCUUCAUAAUUUUUGGUGGUAUUUGGAUGGGGCAACUCGAUCUCAACACCCGAGAAGGGAUGUAGCAGACUUGUUUCAUUCUCAUCUUUCCCGGUUGUGAUUAGCCAUCCCAUAGACUCUAGACAUCGUUUUCCUAUGGCUUUCGGAAUCCUCUUGUUUAAAACCAUGCCAUUGUGGAGGCUGAAGAAUUUUCGACAGGAAUUGUCUUUAUCCUCCUCAUCCUCUGCUAACAUCAACCACGGAAUUCUAGGCACGUCACUGUUGAAAUUGUCCUUGGUGGCGGCACAUUGCCAAGAUUUGCAGACGGCCCCAAA
Molecule: long non-coding RNA, 2907 nt
Filed under: Solanum tuberosum (potato)
Lineage: Eukaryota; Viridiplantae; Streptophyta; Magnoliopsida; Solanales; Solanaceae
Description: long non-coding RNA (STUB_LNC004109)
Source: RNAcentral